AACGAACGCUGGCGGCGUGCCUAACACAUGCAAGUCGAGCGCGAAUGGAGCAAUCCUAGUAGAGCGGCGCACGGGUGCGUAACACGUGGGUAAUCUGCCUCAAAGCCCGGGAUAACCUGCCGAAAGGCAAGCUAAUACCGGAUAAGCCUACGGACUCUUCGGGGUCUGAAGGAAAAGGUGGCCUCUGUAUACAAGCUAUCACUUUGAGAUGAGCCCGCGGCCCAUCAGCUC
This 231-nucleotide ribosomal RNA is filed under the name uncultured bacterium. RNAcentral's name for it is "partial 16S ribosomal RNA". It matches the Rfam family "Bacterial small subunit ribosomal RNA", at positions 29 to 247 of the family's 1533-position model. The record is from RNAcentral.